Long non-coding RNA from Panicum virgatum (switchgrass), 2252 nucleotides. RefSeq lists it as uncharacterized. The record is from RefSeq and is a predicted model, not a curated record. The transcript is spliced from 3 exons. NCBI's taxonomy places the organism in Eukaryota, Viridiplantae, Streptophyta, Magnoliopsida, Poales, Poaceae.
GUUGACAUAGACAAAAAGUCUAGGUAGGCUUUCCUCCGGAAUGCCUGCCGGCGGUACCACCGCCCCAUGAGUGAUCCGCAAUCGGAGCCGAGGGAUCGAGCCUCCAGCAAAGAGCCAAAGUUACCCAUCAACGUCCAGGCUCCAUGGAUCCAGCCUCACUAGUCGGGGAUACGGUGGUCCGCAGCACCGGCACGGGAAGGGGGAUGGCGGCGAGAAAUCAUGACGAGGGCAUGUCGGCCAACAGCCCACAAGGCGCAUGUCCUCACCACCGCGGGCGCCGCCCCCUACCCUAGGGACGCCGGAUCCAGCAGCCACCACAAACCCGGUGCCCUAAGCCAUAGCUGCCGCACCACCUCCUCCGGCACCGGUCUCCCCCUUGUGGGCAGCCGUGUCCGACCGUGCUAGGCACCGCCCAGCUGCGUCCAGCCGCGCCAGGACUGGAUCGAGCUGGGGCCUCACUACAUCCGGCCGUUGGGGGAGCGGAUCCGGCCGCCGGCCGCCUGCCACCGCCGAAGCCACCAUCCAAGUGCUAAUAGGUAAAAAUGCUAAACUUUAGCACUAGUGUAUCCAAACAUGAGUGCUAAUAUGAUGAGUUAAAGUUUAGCCACGACUUAAAUAUUUUAGUAAAAAUGUGAGUGCUAAGAGGUGCUGAAGCUUACUCAAUCAACUUUAGCCCCUGCUGUUUGCAUGCCUCCCGCCUGCUCGCUUUUUGCAAUUAGCCGUAACCUCUCACAUGGGACAUGACGGGCACACAUAUCAGGCUCCCGCUUCCCGUCAGUCCUUUGGAGCAAAAGUAUGCAUCAAAAUUGAGGCACGAAAUCAUUUGGCACCUUUAAGAAAAAUUAUUUAGCAAUCCACCCAGACCGUACCAUUCAUAUUCGAAUCGGGUAAGAAUCCUGCAAAUUCCUAACCCUAACCCCCAACUCCAAUAGCUUUAAAAUAAAAGUCCAAAUUGAGGGUGCACCUAAUACUAGCUAAGCUUCCCGUCGCCUACUUGCGCCUAUUCCCUCGGUUCCAAAUUAUAAUUUGUUUAACUUUUUUUACCAUAAAUUUGACGAGUCAUCUUAUUUAAAAAUAAAAUUUGUGCAAAAUAUUUUUUUACUUGCUUUAUUAUUACAAGUUCUUCAAAAAUAGUUUAAAUUUGUAAUUUUUUUACAAUGUUUGGGGGAAAAAUGGAUGGCUCACGUCGCUCGAUCCGACGGCUGAUAGGUAGAGAGGUACCUAAAAGAGAGGUACCUAUCAUGGACCAGGUGCAUGCUAAAUUGUGGGCCAGUAUGCGCCAGGUAUCUCCUUUUCAUGUGGACCCCUCGCGAAAAAGAAUAUGACGGGUAAUUGCCAUUCCGGGAUUAAUUUUUUGUAUCAGGGGUAAAAUCAUCAAUCCAUAAUGAUUGGAAUAAUGUUUAAUUAGUAUAUUUUGAUUGAAUGUUUGGUUUAAUAUAGUUUGAGCCCACUAAGGUUGAUCCCUAGGUCGGCCCUAGGGUUCAUGGCGGACUUAGGGUUCCUGGGUUAGCGAUGGGGGCGCGCUCCGGCGACGGAGGGGAGGGAGAGAGGCUACGGCCAUGGCGUCAUCAAGCUCGCGCUCGUCACGGUGGUCCACAUCGUCGUCUAGAGGAAGAAGAGGUUGGGAGAAGGAGAGGUUCACGGCGUCGGUGUCGGACCGAGUAGGCCCGUAUGACUACUCUCCGGUGGUGAAGUGUCUCUGCAAUAGGAAGGCGCCUUGCUGGACAUCAUGGAGCGACGACAACCCUGGCCGGAGGUACUACAGAUGCCCUUCAGGAUUGAAGCCCGGGGAUUGCGGCUAUUAUGCGUGGAUUGAUCGUCAGGCCACCGAGUAUGAGCGGAUUCUGUUGUGUGAUCUUCGUGAUGCUGUUUGGUAGUUGAAGAAGGGGAAAGCAGAGGAGCAGCAGCGGGUUCAGAGGGUUCAGGUGGAAAAUGGAGAUCUAAGGCAGUUGAUAGUGCAACUAGAAAUGGAGAAGGAUGAUUUGAAAAAGAAGAUGGUAGAAAAGGAGCAGCUGGAGAUCAAGGAGAAUAGAAACUUCAGUUGCUUUCGUAGUUGCAUUGUAGUUUUUGCUUUGUUAGGACUGUUGUUUGAACUGAAGUACUCAAUGAUGUGACUUGUUCUGUUAGAGCAUGAGCUUUUGUGGCUACCUUUGUGUUACUGCCUAAUCUUUCGAUCUUUUGAUGUAAAUGUUGGCUCGGCUUGCAUCCUAUUUCAAUGCAAAAGGAACUCGUUUUCCAAAUGCAGUGGAAAA